This is a long non-coding RNA of Octopus sinensis (East Asian common octopus), 416 nucleotides long. RefSeq lists it as uncharacterized. The record is from RefSeq and is a predicted model, not a curated record. Lineage: Eukaryota; Metazoa; Mollusca; Cephalopoda; Octopoda; Octopodidae. The transcript is spliced from 3 exons.
GGGUAAACUCGAUCUCGAUAUUUCUGAUGAAGAAGACUUAAAUAUAAACGAAUCAUACGCUAGUAAUUACAAUCAAUGGAGAGAAAAGGAAGAACUUCAGAAAUUAAAAGAUCGUUACGGCAAUCCUUCAGAAAAUGAAACAUCCUCUGAAACAGAAGAUGACUGUGCCACACAAUUGACUCCACAAGUUGACGAGGAAUGGAUGAGACUUUAUGCAACUGCCAAGUUUUCCACAGCAGAACUCUACAACAAAGACCUUAAGUUUUUCGAAAAACAAAAAAGUGAAGGAAAUGAACAUAAACCCACCAAAAAACGUGAAAAGCCCCUGCUUUUCAAAGAUUACGAAAGAAGGCGUAUUUUGAAGGGAGAAGAACCUCAAGAUGCUUACAUGACGGAAAUAGUGCCUGGAUCCUAUG